This 2619-nucleotide unclassified non-coding RNA is filed under the name Hevea brasiliensis (rubber tree). The record is from RNAcentral. Lineage: Eukaryota; Viridiplantae; Streptophyta; Magnoliopsida; Malpighiales; Euphorbiaceae.
ACAAAAAAAAAAAAGAAGAAAAGAAAGAACUCUAGCGUACUCUUAGAAUAGUUAAAAUGGAUCCCAAGGGUACACAGGAAACACAAAUACAACAAUAAAGAGAUCACAAGCAUAUUGUUACUGCAAAUUCCAGGCUCAAAGAAAGAAAGAAAUGAAAAUAUUGACAUAUGCGUAGAGCACAAAGAUGAACGUGAAGCACUAAGGCCAUAUCUUCUAAAUUUACCAUGCAUAGUCUUUCUCUCGGUUUCAAUUGUUCCAUACCCCCCAACACCAUACUAUUGCCACAAAUCCACGACACCACCAUCCGAAGUUUUAAAUAACAAGUAGAAAACAAUCCAGAAUCAGAAACAAGGUAUCAGAACCCGACUAAAAUGGUCCAAACAUACAUACUGAAGCAGCCCCCGUACAGUGAAUUUUCUUAAACAAAUAGCAAAAUGGCUAAAAUCAACAAAAAAACAAGGAUUAAACUAAAUAUGCAAGAUAUCAAAUCAAUAGACACCUAAAGGAACAUUUUAUUAAAUACUAAAGCGUGACACGCAUGUAAGAGUUGGCAGUCAACACCAAGAGGAGUGUUAUUAAUGAUUUUGAUACUUUUUCCCAUGAUUACUGUUAUUUUGAUUUUGAUUGUUCCUUCCUAAGCACAGUCAUCCUCUAGAUGGAAACAUGUUAAAAAGAUGAGCUCGAUCCAAAAAAUAAUCAACUUGAGAGCCUUGAAAAUCACCUCAAUUAUUAUUUUGAUUGAGACAAUUAUGCAUCUCAGUCUCAGACAUGUUGGGUUAAGCUUGAGGUGGUUAUCCCAACCAUAACAAUCAAGGAUGAUAACUGAUGCAUGACAAAAAAUAGUUGAUCCAUGUGAAAUAAUUUAAGGUGAUUGGUCCAUGAGUCAUCAAGGAUGAUAUAACCAUGUGGUACAUCAAGGCAGCAUAAGACACAACUCAUAAGUUGAGGUGUCUUAUAACUCUGAAUCUUAAACUGUUAAUUUUAAAGGGAUUUUUUAAGAAGUUUGAGGCAUUAGCUGAAGAGCGCAGAUCUGAUGUGCCUAAAGGACACCAAAGAUGAAAGUGCGCAUUGAAGUGGUUUAGGCAUGCCCCAUGAUGUGGCACAUCAAGAUCUCAAUUGAACAUUGAGAAACUCAAUUAAACAUUUAAAGAGCAUUUCCUCAUAAGAGAUCAGAGGAGGCUCAAAGUGACAUUCGGUUUAAUAUAUCCUUUAAGUGACACAAACCCCUUUCACAUAAGAAACUAGAGCCAGGAUUGUGGAAACAGACCAUAUGUAGUCAGUAAAUUAGUCCAUUUGAGUAAAAACAGAAAGAGCAGUUACAACUAAGGGGCCUCACAGAGAGAAGAAGGAAUGAAGAUCCAGGAAACUAAAGGGCAGCUUCUCACAGAAGAGUGACAAAGAAAUUUACAAAAGAACACAAAAUACAUUCACAUCCGUUUCUGAUAAGAAAGGGGGACUAAACAACUAUGUCUUUUAUUAUGUUUUAGUCAAUCACACUACAUUCCCCACAUAAGGAGUUAAUAUUGGCUUUAUUUUUUGGUCCAUCCAGCAGAACCUUGGAUGGAUUUGCAAUUAUGUCAGAAGAAAAUCAAUAUAAAUACUGUCUUAACUCUCAAGCAAGUUAGAGAAAAGGUUCCACUUCUGAGCCUGAGUAAUAGUACAAGAAUAUGAAUAUUCCAGCAAAUAUGAAAAACCCAGGAUUAGUGGCAAACCUGGAAAUCCAAAUCAACGUAUACAUUGCAAAAGCGGUAAACAUCUUCAGUGUUCUUGUCAUUUAUCUCAUUAACAAUUGCUUCUGCAGACGCUCUGAGUGGAUCAGGGAUUGCCUUCCCAUAAUCUGAUGAAGAGACCCAUACGCCAUCCUGAAAUAGUUCAGACAUAGAUUUCCACAUAGGAGAAGUAAGUGACAACUAAUUACCUAUCCCAGGAAAGGGUUAUGAGAUUAGUAUUCAGCAUAGAUAAAACAAAUUCAUAAAGGAAUUACACAAAUGAAAAAAACAAAUACCUCCAUGAAGUCUUCCAUUUGAAGUACCCGCUCCACAGCAAUAAGAUACAUUAGCUCAUCAUCCACUUCUUCUCCAAAUCUCUUUUUCCAUAUUGAUUGAUGCCACUUCAAAACCUUCCUGUCCUCUGGCUUCUGUAGGCUGCCUUGAAUUGUGCACUGCGGAGUCCGCAUUCCACACUGCUCCAACUGAACAUGAAGGCUGGACCUCUUGUCAACGGAGAACUGACCGUUGCGAUCACUCAAACACAAAACCGGCGUCCCAUCAUCGUCCACGGCGAACCGAACACCAACACCCAGAGGCCAACUCUCGCUGGUCAAAGUAGAGAGAGUGCCAACUGAAGACAACUCCAUGAUGGUUCUUGAAACUUCGGCAGGAAACGGCUUGUCGAUGGAGGAUCCCAGAUGGGCAGGCUCUGAAACAGUGGAAAGUGAGCAUUUUAAGGAGAAUUGGCGAAAUGGGUUUUGCUUAGGAGGAGCAAAUUGGACUUUGGCAAUGGGUUUUGGGAGAGUGAAUUGAGAAAGAGGAAAAUAUGAGGUCAGAGACUGGGUAUGGAGAUGCAUUGAGAGACGCAGAGGAAGAUUUUGGCGUCCAAUUUGAGUCUUCCUAAGCAAAA